Long non-coding RNA from Neomonachus schauinslandi (Hawaiian monk seal), 100 nucleotides. RefSeq lists it as uncharacterized. NCBI's taxonomy places the organism in Eukaryota, Metazoa, Chordata, Mammalia, Carnivora, Phocidae. The record is from RefSeq and is a predicted model, not a curated record. The transcript has 3 exons.
CGCAGACAGAUACCGAGAAGAAGCUGGUUAAUGUUCCAAAGGCACAGUUGGCGAUGAAGACUUGACCUAGAAUGAUGAUGUUUGCAGAUUGCAUUCUUAC